CGCAUCUGUGCAUGCAGCAUAUCAAUAAGCGGAGGAAAAGAAACUAACAAGGAUUCCCCUAGUAACGGCGAGUGAAGCGGGAAGAGCUCAAAUUUGAAAUCUUAAAGGGUUUCCCUUUACGAAUUGUAGUUUAAAGAAGUGUUUUCUGUUGAGGUUUUGGUAAAAGUUCUUUGGAAUAGGACAUCAUAGAGGGUGAGAAUCCCGUAUUUGACCUUUACUUUCAACUUUGUGAUACACUUUCAAAGAGUCGGAUUGUUUGGGAAUGCAGUCCAAAAUGGGUGGUAAAUUUCAUCUAAAGCUAAAUAUUGGCGAGAGACCGAUAGCGAACAAGUACCGUGAGGGGAAGAUGAAAAGAACUUUGAAAAGAGAGUUAAACAGUACGUGAAAUUGUCAAAAGGGAAGCGUUUGACACCAGUGUUGUUUUUCUGAAAAUCAAUUAAAGAACUGUUUAUGCUAAGUUGUUUAGACUUUAUCAGCUAACUGUUUAGUUUUGAGCUUUUCCUUAAUGCACUUUUCAGUUAACAAGUCAACAUCAAUUUCUUUUGCUGUAAAAAAGCUUGAGGAAGGUGGCUUGAGAUUCGUCUUAAGUGUUUAUAGCCUCUUGCCUAUGCAGUCGGAGAGAUUGAGGUCUGCAGCGUAGAUCCUUCGGGGCUAAAUGCAUUUGUGCUAAGUUAUAACAUUUUAUAGACAACUUGUUGACUAUGAUUUGUCUUGUAGCUUACUCGCUUAUGUUAUUUUACCUACGCUUAGGAUGUUGACAGCAGUAUAGACUGU
RNAcentral lists this ribosomal RNA (774 nucleotides) under uncultured Neocallimastigales. RNAcentral describes it as "partial large subunit ribosomal RNA". It matches the Rfam family "Eukaryotic large subunit ribosomal RNA", at positions 26 to 637 of the family's 3401-position model. Lineage: Eukaryota; Fungi; Neocallimastigomycota; Neocallimastigomycetes; Neocallimastigales. The record is from RNAcentral.